This 253-nucleotide ribosomal RNA is filed under the name uncultured bacterium. RNAcentral describes it as "partial 16S ribosomal RNA". It matches the Rfam family "Bacterial small subunit ribosomal RNA", at positions 524 to 776 of the family's 1533-position model. The record is from RNAcentral.
UACAGAGGUCUCAAGCGUUGUUCGGAUUCAUUGGGCGUAAAGGGUGCGUAGGCGGCGCGGUAAGUCGGGUGUGAAAUUUCGGAGCUUAACUCCGAAACUGCAUUCGAUACUGCCGUGCUUGAGGACUGGAGAGGAGACUGGAAUUUACGGUGUAGCGGUGAAAUGCGUAGAUAUCGUAAGGAAGACCAGUGGCGAAGGCGGGUCUCUGGACAGUUCCUGACGCUGAGGCACGAAGGUCAGGGGAGCAAACGGG